CAGGUAGAGAAUACCAAGGCGCUUGAGAGAACUCGGGUGAAGGAACUAGGCAAAAUGGUGCCGUAACUUCGGGAGAAGGCACGCUGAUAUGUAGGUGAGGUCCCUCGCGGAUGGAGCUGAAAUCAGUCGAAGAUACCAGCUGGCUGCAACUGUUUAUUAAAAACACAGCACUGUGCAAACACGAAAGUGGACGUAUACGGUGUGACGCC
Molecule: ribosomal RNA, 209 nt
Filed under: Escherichia coli
Lineage: Bacteria; Pseudomonadati; Pseudomonadota; Gammaproteobacteria; Enterobacterales; Enterobacteriaceae
Description: partial 23S ribosomal RNA
Rfam family: Bacterial large subunit ribosomal RNA
Source: RNAcentral